AGACCGAUAGCGAACAAGUACCGUGAGGGAAAGAUGAAAAGCACUUUGGAAAGAGAGUUAAACAGUAUGUGAAAUUGUUGAAAGGGAAACGAUUGAAGUCAGUCGUGACCGUUGGGUUCAGCCGGUUCUGCCGGUCUACUCCCUUCGGUCGGGUCAACAUCGGUUUUGACCGGCGGAUAAGGAAGGGAGGAAUGUGGCACCCUCCGGGGUGUGUUAUAGCCUCCCGUCGCAUACGCCGGUCGAGACCGAGGAACGCAGCUCGCCUUUAUGGCCGGGGUUCGCCCACGUCCGAGCUUAGGAUGUUGACAUAAUGGCUUUAAACGACCCGUCUUGAAACACGGACCAAG
This 347-nucleotide ribosomal RNA is filed under the name Kwoniella heveanensis. RNAcentral describes it as "LSU rRNA". It matches the Rfam family "Eukaryotic large subunit ribosomal RNA", at positions 331 to 670 of the family's 3401-position model. The record is from RNAcentral. Lineage: Eukaryota; Fungi; Basidiomycota; Tremellomycetes; Tremellales; Cryptococcaceae.